This is an RNA transcript of Ooceraea biroi (clonal raider ant), 990 nucleotides long. It is a transcript of the gene named mitochondrial ribosomal protein S7, with no coding region annotated. NCBI's taxonomy places the organism in Eukaryota, Metazoa, Arthropoda, Insecta, Hymenoptera, Formicidae. The record is from RefSeq and is a predicted model, not a curated record.
UCAGAGGAUCCUGGAAUCGUCUGUUUUAUCAACUAGUGCAUCCAAUCGAAUUCGCCAUAAGACUAUAGAGUUUUUGGGGAAUUUGCUCACUUUGUAAUUUACUCUAUAUUCUAGUAAGUGAGAUAUUUUCGAGACGAACGCAACAUAGAAGUUUAAAAGUCUAUGGUUGUACGUAAAAGUAAAUAUUACGAUUAACAAAAUGAUCAAUACACGUUUAUUUAUUGUGUCGGCUAGAAAUUUCUUAAAUAAUCAAUGGUUAACAAGGGGCAACUUUUUGAAUCUGAGAAGGGAAUAUAGUGUUUUUCCAACUCAUUAUAUUAAACCGAUAUUUAGGAAAGAUGACCAAGAUACGCUGUUUCAAAGCGAAGAGGCAAAGAAAGUCUCUCAUGAACAAAUAAAACCAGCAUUUAUGGAUGAAACAAGCUCUGAGUUUUAUGAUGCCAGAGUGAUAAAAUUUAUCAAUACUCUUAUGAAAAAUGGAGCUAGAGAUUUGACAACACAAUUGGUGACGAAAACAUUCGAAAAUGUCAAGAGGAUGCAAAUAGAGCAAUAUCACAAAGCAAAAACAGACGAGGAGAAAGCUAGUAUCGAGCUGAAUCCAUUUACAAUCUUUCAUCAAGCUGUCGACAAUUGUACGCCUGUUCUGUAUUUGAUACCAUGUAAAAAGGGUGGAAUUACUUAUCAGAUAAAAAUUAAAACAUUGUUAGGUUCCUGUGCCAAUUACACCUAUGAGAGCACAGCAUACAGCAAUGAAAUGGUUGAUUGAGGCUGCCAAAGAAAAAGACCGCAAAAUAAGAUUUCAUGUCACACUAGCCAAAGAACUAAUAGCAGCCUCUCGAAAUCAGGGUCGUGCAGUUGGACAGAAGAAAGAACUACAUAAAAAAUGCCAAGCCAAUCGGGCCUAUGCACAUUUUAGAUGGAUGUAGGCAAACAAAUAUAAGUUCUUAUAACAAAUGUUCAUAAAUAAAAUAAUUGCUUGUUAAACGCAAA